This 253-nucleotide ribosomal RNA is filed under the name uncultured bacterium. Its description in RNAcentral is "partial 16S ribosomal RNA". It matches the Rfam family "Bacterial small subunit ribosomal RNA", at positions 524 to 776 of the family's 1533-position model. The record is from RNAcentral.
UACGUAGGGACCAAGCGUUGUUCGGAUUUACUGGGCGUAAAGGGCGCGUAGGCGGCAUGACAAGUCACUUGUGAAAUCUCCGGGCUUAACUCGGAACGGCCAAGUGAUACUGUGCGACUAGAGUGCAGAAGGGGCAACUGGAAUUCUCGGUGUAGCGGUGAAAUGCGUAGAUAUCGAGAGGAACACCUGCGGCGAAGGCGGGUUGCUGGGCUGACACUGACGCUGAGGCGCGAAGGCGUGGGGAGCGAACGGG